ACUCCUACGGGAGGCAGCAGUGGGGAAUAUUGCACAAUGGGGAAACCCUGAUGCAGCCAUGCCGCGUGAGUGAAGAAGGCCCUCGGGUUGUAAAGCUCUUUUGUCAGGGAAGAAACGGUGAUCUCUAAUAUAGAUUGCUAAUGACGGUACCUGAAGAAUAAGCACCGGCUAACUACGUGCCAGCAGCCGCGGUAAUACGUAGGGUGCAAGCGUUAAUCGGAAUUACUGGGCGUAAAGCGUGCGCAGGCGGUUUUGUAAGUCUGAUGUGAAAUCCCCGGGCUCAACCUGGGAACUGCAUUGGAGACUGCAAGGCUAGAGUGUGUCAGAGGGGGUAGAAUUCCACGUGUAGCAGUGAAAUGCGUAGAGAUGUGGAGGAAUACCGAUGGCGAAGGCAGCCCCCUGGGAUAACACUGACGCUCAUGCACGAAAGCGUGGGGAGCAAACAGGAUUAGAUACCCUGGUAGACUGUCA
RNAcentral lists this ribosomal RNA (471 nucleotides) under uncultured bacterium. RNAcentral's name for it is "bacterial SSU rRNA". It matches the Rfam family "Bacterial small subunit ribosomal RNA", at positions 335 to 802 of the family's 1533-position model. The record is from RNAcentral.